Molecule: ribosomal RNA, 254 nt
Filed under: uncultured bacterium
Lineage: Bacteria
Description: partial 16S ribosomal RNA
Rfam family: Bacterial small subunit ribosomal RNA
Source: RNAcentral
UACGGGGGGGAGCAAGCGUUGUUCGGAUUUACUGGGCGUAAAGUGUGCGCAGGCGGCCGCGCAAGUCGAGUGUGAAAUCCCCGAGCUUAACUUGGGAAUUGCGCUCGAAACUACGUGGCUGGAGUGUGGCAGAGGAAGGUGGAAUUCCACGUGUAGCGGUGAAAUGCGUAGAUAUGUGGAGGAACACCGAUGGCGAAGGCAGCCUUCUGGGCCAACACUGACGCUCAUGCACGAAAGCGUGGGGAGCAAACAGG